This 253-nucleotide ribosomal RNA is filed under the name uncultured bacterium. RNAcentral's name for it is "partial 16S ribosomal RNA". It matches the Rfam family "Bacterial small subunit ribosomal RNA", at positions 524 to 776 of the family's 1533-position model. The record is from RNAcentral.
UACCGAGGUGACAAACGUUGUCCGGAAUUAUUGGGCGUAAAGGGCGCGUAGGCGGUUGAGUAAGUCAGGUGUGAAAGCUCUGGGCUUAACCCAGGAAUUGCAUCUGAUACUGCUCGGCUUGAGUACGGUAGAGGAGGGUGGAAUUCCCAGUGUAGCGGUGAAAUGCGUAGAUAUUGGGAGGAACACCGGUGGCGAAGGCGGCCCUCUGGACCGAAACUGACACUGAAGCGCGAAAGCUAGGGGAGCAAACGGG